This 513-nucleotide ribosomal RNA is filed under the name Triticum aestivum (bread wheat). RNAcentral describes it as "partial small subunit ribosomal RNA". Lineage: Eukaryota; Viridiplantae; Streptophyta; Magnoliopsida; Poales; Poaceae. The record is from RNAcentral.
AUGAUCAUCGAUGUUGCAUCUCACGGACUUCUAGAACAUCCCAUCAUCCCUAACUCUCCUUGUCCCGUGCUGCAGUAUGUCGACGACACCCUAAUUAUCAUUAAGGCUAAUGAGAACCACCUGGCAAACCUUAAGUCUAUUCUUCAAGACUUCUCUCUAGCCACUGGUCUCCACAUCAACUACGACAAAAGUACUUUUGCACCGAUCCAUGUCGAACCUCAGACAGCCGCCCAUAUGGCCAACAUGUUGGGAUUCUCGGUGACCUCUUUCCCUCAAAAUUACCCCAGCCUUCCCUUGUCUACACACAAACUUCGUCUCCUGGACUUUCAGCCUCUCAUCGCUAAGGUCGACAAGAAGUUGGCCGGCUGGCGUGGCCACCUUCUUUCUGUGGCAGGUCGGGCGGUCCUGGUUAAAUCUAUCAUCUGGGCUCUUCCCACAUACGCUAUGAGCGCUAUGCUCCUCCAUAUUGGUACCAUCCUUGAGAUCGAUAAGCACUGUCGCGCUUUCUUCUAG